Molecule: transfer RNA, 72 nt
Filed under: Spirochaetaceae bacterium
Lineage: Bacteria; Pseudomonadati; Spirochaetota; Spirochaetia; Spirochaetales; Spirochaetaceae
Description: tRNA-Glu
Rfam family: tRNA
About the family: Transfer RNA (tRNA) molecules are approximately 80 nucleotides in length. Their secondary structure includes four short double-helical elements and three loops (D, anti-codon, and T loops). Further hydrogen bonds mediate the characteristic L-shaped molecular structure. tRNAs have two regions of fundamental functional importance: the anti-codon, which is responsible for specific mRNA codon recognition, and the 3' end, to which the tRNAs corresponding amino acid is attached (by aminoacyl-tRNA synthetases). tRNAs cope with the degeneracy of the genetic code in two manners: having more than one tRNA (with a specific anti-codon) for a particular amino acid; and 'wobble' base-pairing, i.e. permitting non-standard base-pairing at the 3rd anti-codon position.
Source: RNAcentral
GUCUUCUUCGUCUAGUGGUUAGGACACCGGGUUUUCAUCUCGGCAACACGAGUUCAAUUCUCGUAGAAGAUA